GGAGAGCGUUCUAAGGGCGUUGAAGCAUGAUCGUAAGGACAUGUGGAGCGCUUAGAAGUGAGAAUGCCGGUGUGAGUAGCGAAAGACGGGUGAGAAUCCCGUCCACCGAUUGACUAAGGUUUCCAGAGGAAGGCUCGUCCGCUCUGGGUUAGUCGGGUCCUAAGCUGAGGCCGACAGGCGUAGGCGAUGGAUAACAGGUUGAUAUUCCUGUACCACCUAUAAUCGUUUUAAUCGAUGGGGGGACGCAGUAGGAUAGGCGAAGCGUGCGAUUGGAUUGCACGUCUAAGCAGUAAGGCUGAGUAUUAGGCAAAUCCGGUACUCGUUAAGGCUGAGCUGUGAUGGGGAGAAGACAUUGUGUCUUCGAGUCGUUGAUUUCACACUGCCGAGAAAAGCCUCUAGAUAGAAAAUAGGUGCCCGUACCGCAAACCGACACAGGUAGUCAAGAUGAGAAUUCUAAGGUGAGCGAGCGAACUCUCGUUAAGGAACUCGGCAAAAUGACCCCGUAACUUCGGGAGAAGGGGUGCUCUUUAGGGUUAACGCCCAGAAGAGCCGCAGUGAAUAGGCCCAAGCGACUGUUUAUCAAAAACACAGGUCUCUGCUAAACCGUAAGGUGAUGUAUAGGGGCUGACGCCUGCCCGGUGCUGGAAGGUUAAGAGGAGUGGUUAGCUUCUGCGAAGCUACGAAUCGAAGCCCCAGUAAACGGCGGCCGUAACUAUAACGGUCCUAAGGUAGCGAAAUUCCUUGUCGGGUAAGUUCCGACCCGCACGAAAGGCGUAACGAUUUGGGCACUGUCUCAACGAGAGACUCGGUGAAAUCAUAGUACCUGUGAAGAUGCAGGUUACCCGCGACAGGACGGAAAGACCCCGUGGAGCUUUACUGUAGCCUGAUAUUGAAAUUCGGCACAGCUUGUACAGGAUAGGUAGGAGCCUUUGAAACGUGAGCGCUAGCUUACGUGGAGGCGCUGGUGGG
RNAcentral lists this ribosomal RNA (969 nucleotides) under Staphylococcus aureus. RNAcentral describes it as "partial 23S ribosomal RNA". It matches the Rfam family "Bacterial large subunit ribosomal RNA", at positions 1231 to 2196 of the family's 2925-position model. Lineage: Bacteria; Bacillati; Bacillota; Bacilli; Caryophanales; Staphylococcaceae. The record is from RNAcentral.